Condylura cristata (star-nosed mole) is the source of this 3701-nucleotide long non-coding RNA. RefSeq lists it as uncharacterized. The record is from RefSeq and is a predicted model, not a curated record. Lineage: Eukaryota; Metazoa; Chordata; Mammalia; Eulipotyphla; Talpidae. The transcript is spliced from 2 exons.
GCUCUGCGGCAGGCACUCAGGCAGCGGGCGCAGAGACUGCAGGAGCGAGCAGGCCCGCUUGGGGAGACGCAGAUAAGUUUUUCUGUUAAAAUGAGGAAGCUAGUGCAGACGUAGAGUACUGAAAAGACCUAAGAAGCUACAGCUUAGGACAAGGAGCUAAAUUUUGAUAACCUAAAAGAGAUGUUAAGGGAAAUGGAGACUUACGUGAAGAGUACCUUGAGAAAGGGAGGAAGAAGAAAAAGGGUAUUUCUAGAGUACCUUGAGAAAGGGAGGAAGAAGGAAAAGGUAUUUCUAGAGCACGACGGAGGUUGAGAUGAAACGCUCAUGGCGUUGAAAGGGAAAGAUUGCUUAGAAAGGGCUGCCGAUUCCGGCAUUAAAGAGCAUUCAGUUGAAGGGCAGCCUGGCAGCCUUUUAGAUUGACGUUAAAAGCUAGGGGACAUCAAUAGAACCUAAACGUCCUUUUAAAAAGAUCGUGGAGGGUUAAAAUACUUGGCUACUUUAGAAAGUGAAGUUGAAGGUGACGAGACCUUCAGAUUAAUGGCGCGCCAAAGGUCACGUCACUUGAAGCCUAGUCGAUUUUCAGGGGCAUCGUUUGCUUAAAAAAAAUGGAAAUAUUAAUUGGGAGUGGUAGGAUAAAACUUAGAAGAAAGAAGAUUAGAGAUUUCAAGUGGAAGCUUCUGAAGACAUCCCAGGAAGGGGAAGAUAGGAAAAUGGAAGAUUAGAAAAGAGAAGAUAGGAAAAUGGAAGACUAGAAGAUAGAUAGAAAAUGGAAGACUAGAAGAUAGAUAGAAAAUGGAAGACUAGAAGAUAGAAAAAUAUGCCUUUUACAAGACAACUAAACCUGAGAUAGAAAGUGGGAAAGUUGACAAACUAGAAGAUCAGAACGACUAAGGGCACAGGCACAAAUUGUAGGAAACGAAGAUGGAAGGUUGGCCAUGCUGCCGAGGAAGAGCAUUUCAGGUAGCAAAUGAAAAGCGAGCUAGGAAGAUUGAAUAAGCUACAAGGUAGACGGCAGAGCAGAAAGUAGAAGAGCGGAACUUAAAGCCAGAGUUGGUAGCCAGAAGUGCGAAGGGAACGAACCCGAGCCCUUGUGCUCGCGAGAGCUCAUCAGUUUCAUUUUGGUGGCUGAGAACUUAGCUCCUGAGCUGAGGGCGUUCAGACUUGUUAGGGCAGCAGGCAGCACGGUCGCGCCUUAGAAGACUGUUGAGGACCAGAAACUUCAAAGCAAGAGGCUGAAAGGACCGAAGCCGUGUAAGCUAAGUGUUAGGCGGCUUUUGGAAGAGUUGAGCUCAAGGCCUUAGGUACACUAGUUCGGGUCUCAGAAACCCUACAGGACUUUCUCACGGAGUAAUGCAAGAUCACGAGCCUGACGUUGGCAUUGGACUGAGCUGAGAUGGUUAAAGGCCGAGGCCUUAGUGGGCCGCGGGCCUCGGUGCUGCCAGACGCGGAUUCAGUGACGCUAGGAAGACAGGAGCCCGGGAGCCGGUGUGGAGAAGCUAGGACUGAGGAGGAGCUGGAGCCGCAGUGGUGAAGAUAGGCCAGGCCGGAGCCAGUGCCAGUGCGAGUUGUGAAGGAAGCUAGGAAGAAGGAAGGAGCGAGCCCCUGUCGAUGUGGAGGUGCAGCUAGGCGAGGAUGCCGGGAAGGAGGAGCCGGCGCGGCGCGGUGUGGUGCUGAAGCUGGCGCACGCGGCGAGGCGGCGUGGUGGAUAGAUAGCGCGGCCUAGCGCAGCGCCCAGGCAGAGCCAGUGUGUGGUAAAGAGCCGAGUUGUGUUGUGACGAGUAUGGGAACUGACGCCCUCAAUGGUAACGGGGACUGAGUAGGGAAGUGGGUUCUGAUGCGCACGUAGGCCGAUUUCCGGGUGUUGUAGGUUUCUCUUUUUCAGGCUUAUUUCUCAUGCAUCUUGUCUGAAGCUUUUGAGGGCAGACUUCCCAGGCCGGAGGAGUGGUAGCUGGCAAGUUUUUGUUUACUUUUAACCAAUUUGAGGGAAGCAAAUGCGUUCUGUAUCUAACGUUGAGACGCAAUUUCAGCAAGUUGUGUGAGCAGGUACUUCUACAUCGGGGCGAUGAGUUUUAGUUGUGUCACUAGUAUCCUCGCCCUAAAUUUUCAGGGACUUUUUGGGGUGUAUACCUUGGGGGUGGAGUUCCGUGGGGGCGGGGGGCAACAUGUUUUGAGUUCUUUUCCCCUUAGGUCUGCCUAGAAUCUCAAGGGCAGUGACUCAAGGUAACAAUGAAAAUCCAGUAUCAGGAUAAACAGCAUCACAGGUUUACAGUUUCUAGAAACUAGCGCAUGCAGCAGCUCUUUGAGGUCUGACGGAGCUGUCCAUUGGAGAAAUGGCUGGUAGUAAUCCUUUUCUUCCACCCCUUCAUCAGACUUAAGUAUUAUGACCCCCUUGUUACCUUUACGUGGAUUAGGUUGGGUGGGCUUACCAGGGAAAGAGGGCGGGGGAGAAAAUGUGUUUUUUUCUAAGAUUCUCCACAGAUGCUCUAGUGCUCUUGACAGAUUGGUUAGAGAAGGAGUGUACUGCUAAGCUGUUGGCACCAACACCUUCAGGGACUGGAGCUGCUUUUUUCCUUCAAGAGUAUUGCCAGUUGAAGCUGACAUGUGCAGCACAGUGCAGCUCGGGUUCAUGUUCAGUCAUCUCAGGAGAACAUCAGACGCUCUUGACUAGGCCAGAUGUUGAAGUUAAGUUUUCAAAUGUGACUUCUUAAAAAAACAAAAAAACAAACUGCCUAUUAUUAAAGGGGAGGGGCAUAUUUUGCCAGUCGUAGUUGGCAGUUACCUGUUGGGACUGGGAGGGUUGGGGUUAGGUAAUUGUUUAGUUUAUGAUUUCAGAGAACUCAUGCCAGAGAACUUAAAUACUUAGGAUGGAAAAACUAAAGAAACCUCAACUUACAAGUUGGCAAGUAACUCCCAAUCCUCUAGUUUUUGGCUUCCUCCCCACCCCCCAUUUUUGAAUUGGACAUCUGGGGGAAGUUCAUGAAGAUCCGCUGGAUUGGGGGUUGGUCUGGCUCACUGGGCUGACCUAACAGAUCUUGGGAAUAUAUGUAAAAACUAAAGUUUGGAUAUGGUAGUGUGUGGUUCUCUUUUGGAAUUUUUUUCAGGUGAUUAAAUAUAACUUAAGGCUACUAUAGGAGCUUCAGAGCAAAGGAUGGCUUAAUGAUCCUGAAGGGAUUUCUGCUGAUGGUAGCUUUUAUAUUCUCAAACUUUUUUCAGAUAACAUCUUCUGAGUCAUAACCAGCCUGGCAAUAUGAUGGCCUAGAUGGAGAGGGAACAACUCCUUGGUGAAUGAUAAGUAAAAGGCAGAAAAGAUUCUAUUUUCUACCUCCAUGGGGGAAAGAGCAUAACCCUUGAAAUCCUUACCUACUGAUGAACGCAUUGUCUACAUAAUGAAAAAAAAAAGCUACCAAUUUAAAGUUAACGGAAUCUACCACUUUAAAGUUAUGGCUAACCAAGCUGUGCCCGCAAAAAAUAAUGAGUCAAUGAGAAAGUAAUGAAUUGAUGAGCAAUACAACGAAGAUCAAAUGUCCAUCUCAAAAUACUGCUUUUACAAAAGCAGAAUUUUAAAAAGUGAAAUGAAAUGAAAGAUAAUACUACAUUAAUCCUGGAAUAAAAGAAGCUGGAAUCAGAUGAGUGGGAUCAUGUGGAUUGAGGAGAGGAGGCUGUCCUGUUUGCCAAUCUUUCGUUUGCCUCAGACAGGUUUC